This 621-nucleotide ribosomal RNA is filed under the name uncultured bacterium. Its description in RNAcentral is "bacterial SSU rRNA". It matches the Rfam family "Bacterial small subunit ribosomal RNA", at positions 202 to 842 of the family's 1533-position model. The record is from RNAcentral.
CAAAGGAGCAAUCCGCUGAGAGAUGGGCUCGCGUCCGAUUAGAUAGUUGGCGGGGUAACGGCCCACCAAGUCAACGAUCGGUAGCCGGACUGAGAGGUUGAACGGCCACAUUGGGACUGAGACACGGCCCAGACUCCUACGGGAGGCAGCAGUGGGGGAUAUUGCACAAUGGGGGGAACCCUGAUGCAGCGAUGCCGCGUGAGUGAAGACGGCCUUCGGGUUGUAAAGCUCUGUCGCAGAGGACGAAAAUGACGGUACCCUGCAAGAAAGCUCCGGCUAACUACGUGCCAGCAGCCGCGGUAAUACGUAGGGAGCAAGCGUUGUCCGGAAUUACUGGGUGUAAAGGGAGCGUAGGCGGGAGGAUAAGUUGAAUGUGAAAUCUAUGGGCUCAACCCAUAGCUGCGUUCAAAACUGUUCUUCUUGAGUGAAGUAGAGGCAGGCGGAAUUCCUAGUGUAGCGGUGAAAUGCGUAGAUAUUAGGAGGAACACCAGUGGCGAAGGCGGCCUGCUGGGCUUUUACUGACGCUGAGGCUCGAAAGCGUGGGUAGCAAACAGGAUUAGAUACCCUGGUAGUCCACGCGGUAAACGAUGAUUACUAGGUGUGGGUGGACUGACCCCAUCC